UGGGGAAUUUUGGACAAUGGGCGAAAGCCUGAUCCAGCCAUGCCGCGUGAGUGAAGAAGGCCUUCGGGUUGUAAAGCUCUUUUGGUCGGAAAGAAAAGAUCAUAAUGAACAAUUAUGAUUCAUGACGGUACCGACAGAAAAAGCACCGGCUAACUACGUGCCAGCAGCCGCGGUAAUACGUAGGGUGCGAGCGUUAAUCGGAAUUACUGGGCGUAAAGGGUGCGCAGGCGGUUUUGUAAGUCAGAUGUGAAAUCCCCGGGCUUAACCUGGGAAUUGCGUUUGAAACUGCAAGACUAGAGUGCAGCAGAGGGGAGUGGAAUUCCAUGUGUAGCAGUGAAAUGCGUAGAGAUGUGGAAGAACACCGAUGGCGAAGGCAGCUCCCUGGGUUGACACUGACGCUCAUGCACGAAAGCGUGGGGAGCAAACA
RNAcentral lists this ribosomal RNA (427 nucleotides) under uncultured beta proteobacterium. RNAcentral describes it as "bacterial SSU rRNA". It matches the Rfam family "Bacterial small subunit ribosomal RNA", at positions 355 to 774 of the family's 1533-position model. Lineage: Bacteria; Pseudomonadati; Pseudomonadota; Betaproteobacteria. The record is from RNAcentral.